CUCUUAUAUUACUUCUAAGGAAGGAGGUAAAAUUCCAAUACAAUUGGCUGGAAUAUUCCCUACUCAACAAGUUUCACAGGGAUUGGAUCAGGAGAGUGAGAUUUCAUCACCAAAAGAGUUAGGAAGUAGGUCUUCUGGAGCAAGCAACAAGGAAGCAUGACCUUGUUUGAUAUGUUAAGACGUAUAUUAAGAAUUAUAUGUUAAGACGUAUUAUUGAAAAAUGUUACUUUGAUACUUUGUUUUUGGAUUAUGAUAUUUCAAUUAUGACUUGGAUUAUGACUUUUAGAUCAUGUAUGAAUUAAAAAUCA
Molecule: non-coding RNA, 308 nt
Organism: Arachis ipaensis
Lineage: Eukaryota; Viridiplantae; Streptophyta; Magnoliopsida; Fabales; Fabaceae
Source: RefSeq, a predicted model, not a curated record